RNAcentral lists this ribosomal RNA (749 nucleotides) under uncultured archaeon. Its description in RNAcentral is "bacterial SSU rRNA". It matches the Rfam family "Archaeal small subunit ribosomal RNA", at positions 170 to 922 of the family's 1478-position model. The record is from RNAcentral.
CUGGAAUGAUUCUUGGCUCAAACCUAUAUGGCCCCUGGAUUGGACUGCGGCCGAUCAGGCUGUUGGUGAGGUAAUGGCCCACCAAACCUAUUACCGGUACGGGCUCUGAGAGGAGGAGCCCGGAGAUGGGCACUGAGACAAGGGCCCAGGCCCUAUGGGGCGCAGCAGGCGCGAAACCUCUGCAAUAGGCGAAAGCUUGACAGGGUUACUCUGAGUGGUUUCCGCUAAGGGAAUCUUUUGGCACCUCUAAAAAUGGUGCAGAAUAAGGGGUGGGCAAGUCUGGUGUCAGCCGCCGCGGUAAUACCAGCACCCCGAGUGGUCGGGACGAUUAUUGGGCCUAAAGCAUCCGUAGCCGGUCCUGCAAGUCUUCCGUUAAAUCCAGCUGCUCAACAGAUGGGCUGCGGGAGAUACUACAGGGCUAGGAGGCGGGAGAGGCAAGCGGUACUUUAUGGGUAGGGGUAAAAUCCGCUGAUCCAUAGAAGACCACCAGUGGCGAAGGCGGCUUGCCAGAACGCGCUCGACGGUGAGGGAUGAAAGCUGGGGGAGCAAACCGGAUUAGAUACCCGGGUAGUCCCAGCUGUAAACGAUGCAGACUCGGUGAUGGGUUGGCCUCGCGCCUGCCCAGUGCCGCAGGGAAGCCGUUAAGUCUGCCGCCUGGGGAGUACGGUCGCAAGACUGAAACUUAAAGGAAUUGGCGGGGGAGCACCACAAGGGGUGAAGCCUGCGGUUCAAUUGGAUUCAACGCCGGG